Molecule: unclassified non-coding RNA, 329 nt
Filed under: soil metagenome
Description: partial contains 5.8S ribosomal RNA, internal transcribed spacer 2, and large subunit ribosomal RNA
Rfam family: 5.8S ribosomal RNA (bases 1-120)
Source: RNAcentral
GAUGAAGAACGCAGCGAAAUGCGAUAAGUAAUGUGAAUUGCAGAAUUCAGUGAAUCAUCGAAUCUUUGAACGCACAUUGCGCCCCUUGGUAUUCCGAGGGGCAUGCCUGUUCGAGCGUCAUUAUAACCCCUCAAGCUCAGCUUGGUGUUGGGGCCUGCUGCACUGGCAGCCCUUAAAAUCAGUGGCGGCGCCAUCUGGCUCUAAGCGUAGUAAUUCUUCUCGCUAUGGAGUCCUGGUGGAUGCUUGCCAUCAACCUCCAAUUUUUCUAUGGUUGACCUCGGAUCAGGUAGGGAUACCCGCUGAACUUAAGCAUAUCAAUAAGCGGAGGA